RNAcentral lists this long non-coding RNA (635 nucleotides) under Phascolarctos cinereus (koala). Its description in RNAcentral is "lncRNA (ENSPCIG00000015210.2)". The record is from RNAcentral. Lineage: Eukaryota; Metazoa; Chordata; Mammalia; Diprotodontia; Phascolarctidae.
CAGCCAUGUCGUUCUGGCCUCUGCGCAUCUCUGAUUUCUGAGGUCCUGAGAGACAGGGAGGAGAAGUGGGAGAGAAGAGCAUCUUUGGUUCUUCAGAGUGACCCUCAUGACUUCAUAGCAUGAAAUUCUGCCCAGCCUUCUCCAAGUACUGUUCUGGGAGCAAGAUUCCAAGUUGUAAGCAUGGGAACAGGAGGAAGAUUUCAAUUCACAAGGGGAGCUCAAGAAUCUGCUGGGUUUUCAGGAAUAAACCAUAAGCUAGAAACCAAGAGAAGUGAGUUCUAAUCCAUAUUCUGUUGCUAAUGGAUUCACUGUGAAAGCAUGCUCUGUACCAAGGCAAAGCCUACAUUGACCAGAGCCCUUUUGUUCUAGGCUCUUUCUAUCUCCGCUGACAGUCUGGUAUCUGAGGUAACAUUAAAUGUCAUGCAGGGUAUUUUUGUUGUUGUUGUUCAGUCCCAUUUAGGGUUUUCUUGGUAGAGAGACUUAAGUGGAUUGCCAUUUCUUUCUCCAGCUCAUUUUACAGAUGAGGAAACUGAGGCAAACAGAGAUUAAGUGAUUUGCCCAGGGUCACACAGCCAGUAAGUGUCUGAGUCCAGAUUUGAACUCUCGAAGAUGAGUCUUCCUUACUCCAGGCCCAC